Molecule: long non-coding RNA, 1586 nt
Filed under: Salvia miltiorrhiza (redroot sage)
Lineage: Eukaryota; Viridiplantae; Streptophyta; Magnoliopsida; Lamiales; Lamiaceae
Description: long non-coding RNA (SMIL_LNC009292)
Source: RNAcentral
CGCAGGAAACUGAAGUUCAUAAUUUAGACUAUCAUUGCUAUUCAAUUUAUUAAUCAGAAAAUACAAAAGUAGAAGCCCAUAAUUAAUUACCUUCACAUAUCAACCAUGGGGAAUAGCCUGGGACCCAUCAACAUUAUUUGGUAAGAAGAUCUCCCAACCCCAUAUCCAUUCUGUAAGAAACUCUGAAAAUAAGCAAAAGAAAACUAUCAGCAUUCGGAUUCCAAUUAUUGAAAUCUCUAAUAAGCGUAGCCGACUGCAGGAUUAGAAUGGUUUGACAAACCUCUAUCAGCUUCAUUAAUUCUCAUGCUUUGACAAGCUACAGUUUAGAAGUUUCUCUAUUAAUCCAAAAAUUUUAGACUACAUUAAUUGGAAGAGGAAAAACAGGAAUGAGCAUUUUACAUUAUAGUUAAUAUAUUAGUAUUAUAUCAAUGUUGGAUGCUUCUACCCAUAACUUACAAUAUAAUUGAUCUUAACUUGGCCUGUAGUAAGAUACAUAGCAGAAGUAGCACAUAUCUGCUAGAUUCCUUUGCUAGGAGCAGAAGUAGCACAUAUCUGCUAGAUUCAUUUGCUAAGUUUUUUAUACUGCAAAAAUUGCAGAAUGAAAUGAUGAACACAUGCCAAAAAUAAUUAGCUACUAAAAUGUACAUAAAUGGAACUAAAAAAAGAUUCCUCAACCCAAAAAAAUAAAAAUAAAGAACUCUUGCUCAACACAAAAAGAUACAUAGCUCACCACAAUUUUAUUUUUAUUUUUUCUUACAAUUUCAGCACAUGAUUACAAUAAAAAAGGACAGUCACAGUUAUAACCUUAAAACCAAGAAACAAGAAACUGAAGAAGAAUUAUCUGCUCAUUUGGAGGGAGAAUACAUUUAUGGACCACUUUGUGCAGCAUAGAGCUUAUUCAUUUUGUAAGAAAUCGCCACUUAUUUUAAUGGCUAACUUCUGGCGAGUACAACACCUAGAACUAAACACAACAUGAAGGCAACACCUAGAAUUUGUCUCACUUGAAAACAGCAAAUACCAAUAGGAGCAUGCUCCACAAUGUAAAAACUAAAUCAGUUUCUUUUCAUAUCUAAAUCCAAGAAACUGAAAACUGAUACAGAAAUGGAUAAACAAGGUACCUACUUAGGUUAAGUUAGCACUAUCUAACUUCAAAUAUUCAAGUUGCCCCUAGUUUAAUUGGGCCUAAAAUAUGUACUUCACCAAUAAGCAUAAGAGAUUGGAUUAACAACAAUACAAAAGCAACAACAGCGAUAACAAAUUCAGUGAUUGAUAUAAAUUAACAUAUGGAGUAGUAAUUUACAGCAGCAAUAGCAAAGAAAAAAUAGCAACAACAAAUGAAGAGAAAGACUCAGAGAGCAGCUGAGAAAGCACGGCAGACAUUUGUGACGACACAAAUGAAGAAAAAAUCUUACUGAUAACAAUUCCAGUGGCAGAUUUUUAUUUGGUGACGACUUCAGGCUCCUCAUCCAAUAUUGCUUAAACCUACAAAUCCACAAUAGCAAUAAAAUUGAAAUAAAAUAAAAUAACACAAAUACAUGGAAUUGCUUCCAGAUAAAACCUUAAGACAAAAAAUUAAAAAAUACAAC